GAUGAACGCUGGCGGCGUGCCUAAUACAUGCGAGUCGAGCGAACAGAUGAGGAGCUUGCUCCUCUGACGUUAGCGGCGGACGGGUGAGUAACACGUGGAUAACCUACCUAUAAGACUGGGAUAACUUCGGGAAACCGGAGCUAAUACCGGAUAAUAUAUUGAACCGCAUGGUUCAAUAGUGAAAGACGGUUUUGCUGUCACUUAUAGAUGGAUCCGCGCCGCAUUAGCUAGUUGGUAAGGUAACGGCUUACCAAGGCAACGAUGCGUAGCCGACCUGAGAGGGUGAUCGGCCACACUGGAACUGAGACACGGUCCAGACUCCUACGGGAGGCAGCAGUAGGGAAUCUUCCGCAAUGGGCGAAAGCCUGACGGAGCAACGCCGCGUGAGUGAUGAAGGUCUUCGGAUCGUAAAACUCUGUUAUUAGGGAAGAACAAAUGUGUAAGUAACUAUGCACGUCUUGACGGUACCUAAUCAGAAAGCCACGGCUAACUACG
This 495-nucleotide ribosomal RNA is filed under the name uncultured bacterium. Its description in RNAcentral is "partial 16S ribosomal RNA". It matches the Rfam family "Bacterial small subunit ribosomal RNA", at positions 28 to 505 of the family's 1533-position model. The record is from RNAcentral.